This 514-nucleotide ribosomal RNA is filed under the name Aiolopus thalassinus tamulus. RNAcentral describes it as "partial 16S ribosomal RNA". It matches the Rfam family "Bacterial large subunit ribosomal RNA", at positions 1804 to 2595 of the family's 2925-position model. Lineage: Eukaryota; Metazoa; Arthropoda; Insecta; Orthoptera; Acrididae. The record is from RNAcentral.
UUAACAAAAACAUGUCUUCUCGAUAAUAUUUUGAAGUCUGGCCUGCUCACUGAUUUUAUAUUAAAUAGCCGCGGUAUUUUGACCGUGCAAAGGUAGCAUAAUCAUUAGUCUUUUAAUUGGGGGCUGGAAUGAAUGGUUUAACGAGAAAUUGGCUGUCUCUUAAUAAAUUUUAGAAUUUAACUUUUGAGUUAAAAGGCUUAAAUUUUUUUUUAGGACGAGAAGACCCUAUAGAUCUUGACAUUUAUAUUUUUAUAUUUUUUAUAGAUAAUCUUUUUAUAUUAAAUUUUAAUGUUAUGUUGGGGUGACAUGAAGAAUAAAUAAACUCUUCAUUAUUAAAUCAUUUAUUUAUGACUAUUUGAUCCAUAAUUUAUGAUCAUAAGAUUAAGUUACCUUAGGGAUAACAGCGUAAUUAUUUUUGAGAGUUCAUAUCGACAAAAUAGAUUGCGACCUCGAUGUUGGAUUAAGAUUAAUUUUAGGUGUAGUAGCUUAAAAGUUAGUCUGUUCGACCUAAUUC